Molecule: long non-coding RNA, 1131 nt
Organism: Poecilia latipinna (sailfin molly)
Lineage: Eukaryota; Metazoa; Chordata; Actinopteri; Cyprinodontiformes; Poeciliidae
Exons: 5
Source: RefSeq, a predicted model, not a curated record
CCCUCCCCUGCAGCAGAAGAAGCGGGCCGACAGCAGCCUCUGAACACCGCAGUGCAUGCUACCGCUCAGCCUGCUCCUCUGUUCGCCUUUCUUCCACAGCAGCGACGACACGGAGGAAAACAGACGUCCUGUCUGUGAUUUUUAUCCCAAACACAGGAGGACUGCCCGCGUCCUGACAACCCUGCUCGCUCCCCCCCUGUCUGCCCGCAGUGCGGUGUGUGGUGUAAAUAGGACAGAACUCAGAAGAUAAAGUUGGCAGUUUCACCGCUGACUACUCACUGGAACGAAAACCAGAAGAACUACCGAUCCAGACCAGCUUCAGAGAACCAGGAGAGUCUGGUUUUUCCAGUCACAGACUUUCUGCGAGAUCAAAGCGGUUUAGUUGAUUUUAGAGAAUAUUGUGGAGUUCGAAAGCAUGGCCCUUUUUACCAACGAUGUGCACAGCCUGGGCUCCUAUUACUGCCUGAUCCGACGCAAGUUUAAGAGGAGGCGGAAGAAGCGCUCCGAACGCAAAGGUAACCCUAAGAGUUGAAGUUCUGUCGCCUUGUCUGAUGCUGGGACGCAAACAAGUGUUUGCAGCUUUGAAACAAGUGGUUUUAGGUUGUUUCUUUAUGACUUUAUGAAUGCUUGCUGAGUCCAGAAUAUUAAAUUUAUUUUUGUUUUUCAUGGCUGCAUAUUUACAGCAAAGUUUAUCCUAAACAGGUGAAUUUCUGUCAAUCUGUGAAUGUAGUUAGUUUGAUUUAGUCCUUUUCAAAGUUUGAAUAUUUUUUGAAAAAAAGGCAUGUUGAUAUAAAAAAUUUAAAAAUUUUCAAUUUUUUUUAGGAAAACCAAAAUAUUCCUUUUAUACCCAUGGCAAAAGACAUCUUCUCGACAAAACGAGUGACGUGACCAAAAUUUGUCUUGUUUUUUAUUCGUUUGAAGUUCAUAGUUUGAUUUAUCUUUGAUGGGCUAAAAGGAUCUCUGUGUAAAUUUACAGCCUUGUUAUAUACAGAUACAAUAAGAAAUGGGUGGGAACAUUUUUUCCUCCUGGAUUUACUUUAAAAGUUAUUCAUACCCCUUGCAGAUUUAGAUUUGAAAUCCUUAUCCCACUAAGUAGAUUGUUUUCACGGGAAAUGAGACCGACACCUCUAC